GUCCCAGCCAGGUGAACCUACCUCUAGAUCUAUGUAGUGUCUAGUGUCCCAGCCAGGUGAACCUACCUCUAGAUCUAUGUAGUGUCUAGUGUCCCAGCCAGUUGAACCUACCUCUAGAUCUAUGUAGUGUCUAGUGUCCCAGCCAGUUGAACCUACCUCUAGAUCUAUGUAGUGUCUAGUGUCCCAGCCAGGUGAACCUACCUCUAGAUCUAUGUAGUGUCUAGUGUCCCAGCCAGUUGAACCUACCUCUAGAUCUAUGUAGUGUCUAGUGUCCCAGCCAGUUGAACCUACCUCUAGCUCUAUGUAGUGUCUAGUGUCCCAGCCAGGUGAACCUACCUCUAGAUCUAUGUAGUGUCUA
This is a long non-coding RNA of Oncorhynchus keta (chum salmon), 358 nucleotides long. RefSeq lists it as uncharacterized. The transcript is spliced from 3 exons. The record is from RefSeq and is a predicted model, not a curated record. Lineage: Eukaryota; Metazoa; Chordata; Actinopteri; Salmoniformes; Salmonidae.